Molecule: ribosomal RNA, 468 nt
Filed under: uncultured bacterium
Lineage: Bacteria
Description: partial 16S ribosomal RNA
Rfam family: Bacterial small subunit ribosomal RNA
Source: RNAcentral
GACGAACGCUGGCGGCGUGCUUAACACAUGCAAGUCGAACGGAAAGGCCCUGCUUUUGUGGGGUGCUCGAGUGGCGAACGGGUGAGUAACACGUGAGUAACCUGCCCUUGACUUUGGGAUAACUUCAGGAAACUGGGGCUAAUACCGGAUAGGAGCUCCUGCUGCAUGGUGGGGGUUGGAAAGUUUCGGCGGUUGGGGAUGGACUCGCGGGUUAUCAGCUUGUUGGUGGGGUAGUGGCUUACCAAGGCUUUGGUGGGUAGCCGGCCUGGGAGGGUGACCGGCCACAUUGGUACUGGGGUAGGGCCCAGAGUGCUACGGGAGGCAGUGGUGGGGAAUAUUGCACAAUGGGCGGAAGCCUGAUGCAACAACGCCGCGUGCGGGAUGACGGCCUUCGGGUUGUAAACCGCUUUAGCCUGUGACGAAGCGUGAGUGACGGUAAUGGGUAAAGAAGCACCGGCUAACUACGUG